Molecule: ribosomal RNA, 2885 nt
Filed under: Pseudomonas sp. B21-035
Lineage: Bacteria; Pseudomonadati; Pseudomonadota; Gammaproteobacteria; Pseudomonadales; Pseudomonadaceae
Description: 23S ribosomal RNA
Rfam family: Bacterial large subunit ribosomal RNA
Source: RNAcentral
GGUCAAGUGAAGAAGCGCAUACGGUGGAUGCCUUGGCAGUCAGAGGCGAUGAAAGACGUGGUAGCCUGCGAUAAGCUUCGGGGAGUCGGCAAACAGACUUUGAUCCGGAGAUCUCUGAAUGGGGGAACCCACUCAGCAUAAGCUGAGUAUCUUGUACUGAAUACAUAGGUGCAAGAGGCGAACCAGGGGAACUGAAACAUCUAAGUACCCUGAGGAAAAGAAAUCAACCGAGAUUCCCUUAGUAGUGGCGAGCGAACGGGGACUAGCCCUUAAGUGGCUUUGAGAUUAGCGGAACGCUCUGGAAAGUGCGGCCAUAGUGGGUGAUAGCCCUGUACGCGAAAAUCUCUUAGUCAUGAAAUCGAGUAGGACGGAGCACGAGAAACUUUGUCUGAAUAUGGGGGGACCAUCCUCCAAGGCUAAAUACUACUGACUGACCGAUAGUGAACCAGUACCGUGAGGGAAAGGCGAAAAGAACCCCGGAGAGGGGAGUGAAAUAGAUCCUGAAACCGUAUGCGUACAAGCAGUGGGAGCCUACUUGUUAGGUGACUGCGUACCUUUUGUAUAAUGGGUCAGCGACUUAUAUUCAGUGGCGAGCUUAACCGAAUAGGGGAGGCGUAGCGAAAGCGAGUCUUAAUAGGGCGUUUAGUCGCUGGGUAUAGACCCGAAACCGGGCGAUCUAUCCAUGGGCAGGUUGAAGGUUAGGUAACACUGACUGGAGGACCGAACCGACUACCGUUGAAAAGUUAGCGGAUGACCUGUGGAUCGGAGUGAAAGGCUAAUCAAGCUCGGAGAUAGCUGGUUCUCCUCGAAAGCUAUUUAGGUAGCGCCUCAUGUAUCACUGUAGGGGGUAGAGCACUGUUUCGGCUAGGGGGUCAUCCCGACUUACCAAACCGAUGCAAACUCCGAAUACCUACAAGUGCCGAGCAUGGGAGACACACGGCGGGUGCUAACGUCCGUCGUGAAAAGGGAAACAACCCAGACCGUCAGCUAAGGUCCCAAAGUUAUGGUUAAGUGGGAAACGAUGUGGGAAGGCUUAGACAGCUAGGAGGUUGGCUUAGAAGCAGCCACCCUUUAAAGAAAGCGUAAUAGCUCACUAGUCGAGUCGGCCUGCGCGGAAGAUGUAACGGGGCUCAAACCAUACACCGAAGCUACGGGUAUCACUUAGGUGAUGCGGUAGAGGAGCGUUCUGUAAGCCUGUGAAGGUGAGUUGAGAAGCUUGCUGGAGGUAUCAGAAGUGCGAAUGCUGACAUGAGUAACGACAAUGGGAGUGAAAAACUCCCACGCCGAAAGACCAAGGUUUCCUGCGCAACGUUAAUCGACGCAGGGUUAGUCGGUCCCUAAGGCGAGGCUGAAAAGCGUAGUCGAUGGAAAACAGGUUAAUAUUCCUGUACUUCUGGUUAUUGCGAUGGAGGGACGGAGAAGGCUAGGCCAGCUUGGCGUUGGUUGUCCAAGUUUAAGGUGGUAGGCUGAGAUCUUAGGUAAAUCCGGGAUCUUAAGGCCGAGAGCUGAUGACGAGUUGCCAUUAGGCGACGAAGUGGUUGAUGCCAUGCUUCCAAGAAAAGCUUCUAAGCUUCAGAUAACCAGGAACCGUACCCCAACACAGGUGGUUGGGUAGAGAAUACCAAGGCGCUUGAGAGAACUCGGGUGAAGGAACUAGGCAAAAUGGCACCGUAACUUCGGGAGAAGGUGCGCCGGUGAGGGUGAAGGACUUGCUCCGUAAGCCCAUGCCGGUCGAAGAUACCAGGCCGCUGCGACUGUUUAUUAAAAACACAGCACUCUGCAAACACGAAAGUGGACGUAUAGGGUGUGACGCCUGCCCGGUGCCGGAAGGUUAAUUGAUGGGGUUAGCUAACGCGAAGCUCUUGAUCGAAGCCCCGGUAAACGGCGGCCGUAACUAUAACGGUCCUAAGGUAGCGAAAUUCCUUGUCGGGUAAGUUCCGACCUGCACGAAUGGCGUAACGAUGGCGGCGCUGUCUCCACCCGAGACUCAGUGAAAUUGAAAUCGCUGUGAAGAUGCAGUGUAUCCGCGGCUAGACGGAAAGACCCCGUGAACCUUUACUAUAGCUUUGCACUGGACUUUGAAUUUGCUUGUGUAGGAUAGGUGGGAGGCUUUGAAGCGUGGACGCCAGUUCGCGUGGAGCCAUCCUUGAAAUACCACCCUGGCAACUUUGAGGUUCUAACUCAGGUCCGUUAUCCGGAUCGAGGACAGUGUAUGGUGGGUAGUUUGACUGGGGCGGUCUCCUCCUAAAGAGUAACGGAGGAGUACGAAGGUGCGCUCAGACCGGUCGGAAAUCGGUCGUAGAGUAUAAAGGCAAAAGCGCGCUUGACUGCGAGACAGACACGUCGAGCAGGUACGAAAGUAGGUCUUAGUGAUCCGGUGGUUCUGUAUGGAAGGGCCAUCGCUCAACGGAUAAAAGGUACUCCGGGGAUAACAGGCUGAUACCGCCCAAGAGUUCAUAUCGACGGCGGUGUUUGGCACCUCGAUGUCGGCUCAUCACAUCCUGGGGCUGAAGCCGGUCCCAAGGGUAUGGCUGUUCGCCAUUUAAAGUGGUACGCGAGCUGGGUUUAGAACGUCGUGAGACAGUUCGGUCCCUAUCUGCCGUGGACGUUUGAGAUUUGAGAGGGGCUGCUCCUAGUACGAGAGGACCGGAGUGGACGAACCUCUGGUGUUCCGGUUGUCACGCCAGUGGCAUUGCCGGGUAGCUAUGUUCGGAAGAGAUAACCGCUGAAAGCAUCUAAGCGGGAAACUUGCCUCAAGAUGAGAUCUCACUGGAGCCUUGAGCUCCCUGAAGGGCCGUCGAAGACUACGACGUUGAUAGGUUGGGUGUGUAAGCGCUGUGAGGCGUUGAGCUAACCAAUACUAAUUGCCCGUGAGGCUUGACCAU